Molecule: ribosomal RNA, 305 nt
Filed under: uncultured bacterium
Lineage: Bacteria
Description: bacterial SSU rRNA
Rfam family: Bacterial small subunit ribosomal RNA
Source: RNAcentral
UCUUCCUACGGGGGGCAGCAGUGGGGGAUAUUGCACAAUGGGGGAAACCCUGAUGCAGCGACGCCGCGUGGGUGAAGAAGCGCCUCGGCGCGUAAAGCCCUGUCAGCAGGGAAGAAAAUGACGGUACCUGAAGAAGAAGCCCCGGCUAACUACGUGCCAGCAGCCGCGGUAAUACGUAGGGGGCAAGCGUUAUCCGGAUUUACUGGGUGUAAAGGGGGCGCAGACGGCGAUGCAAGCCAGGAGUGAAAGCCCGGGGCCCAACCCCAGGACUGCUCUUGGAACUGCGCGGCUAGCGUGCAGGCGGG